RNAcentral lists this ribosomal RNA (465 nucleotides) under uncultured bacterium. Its description in RNAcentral is "partial 16S ribosomal RNA". It matches the Rfam family "Bacterial small subunit ribosomal RNA", at positions 28 to 507 of the family's 1533-position model. The record is from RNAcentral.
GACGAACGCUGGCGGCGUGCUUAACACAUGCAAGUCGAACGGAAAGGCCCUGCUUGCGGGGUACUCGAGUGGCGAACGGGUGAGUAACACGUGGGUGAUUUGCCCUGCACUACGGGUUAAGCCUGGGAAAGUGGGUCUAAUACCGGAUAGGAGCUAUUUUUAGUGUGAUGGUUGGAAAGUUUUUGAGGUGUAGGAUGAGCUUGCGGCCUAUCAGCUUGUUGGGGGGGCAAUGGCCUACCAAGGCGGCGACGGGUAGCCGGCCUGAGAGGGUGGACGGCCACAUUGGGACUGAGAUACGGCCCAGACUCCUACGGGAGGCAGCAGUGGGGAAUAUUGCACAAUGGGCGCAAGCCUGAUGCAGCGACGCCGCGUGGGGGAUGACGGCCUUCGGGUUGUAAACUCCUUUCGCUAGGGACGAAGCUUUUUGUGACGGUACCUAGAUAAGAAGCACCGGCUAACUACGUG